Non-coding RNA from Biomphalaria pfeifferi, 307 nucleotides. NCBI's taxonomy places the organism in Eukaryota, Metazoa, Mollusca, Gastropoda, Planorbidae. The record is from the annotation of a GenBank genome assembly.
GGGGGGGGGGGGGACUGGGGAGCUAAUUGGAUACCUGAAUACCUAGAGAGAAAGAUACAUCUGAGAGACUACGUUAAAUGCUUGUCACUUGACCAGCCAGUCUCAUAGAUGUAUGUCACAAAAACAUUCAAAAUGUCACUUUAUUGAGAGGUUCAUUGGAAUAAAUGUCAUUGUUUCUUAAGGUUGUUAACAAUGAUUUGUGAGCUUAAGUCAGUACUGUUAUAGAUUUGGAAGAUAGAAGCCCAGUCAGUGUAUGCAAUAUGAAGAAUAACUGUGAAUCAGAGAGAUAGAUGUUUAAUCUCAGACA